GCAAAUCUAAGAGAUUAGACGUUCCCUUCGGGGACAUGGAUACAGGUGGUGCAUGGUUGUCGUCAGCUCGUGUCGUGAGAUGUUGGGUUAAGUCCCGCAACGAGCGCAACCCUUAUUAUCAGUUGCCAGCAUUAAGUUGGGCACUCUGGUGAGACUGCCGGUGACAAACCGGAGGAAGGUGGGGAUGACGUCAAAUCAUCAUGCCCCUUAUGACCUGGGCUACACACGUGCUACAAUGGAUGGUACAACGAGUUGCGAACUCGCGAGAGUAAGCUAAUCUCUUAAAGCCAUUCUCAGUUCGGAUUGUAGGCUGCAACUCGCCUACAUGAAGUCGGAAUCGCUAGUAAUCGCGGAUCAGCAUGCCGCGGUGAAUACGUUCCCGGGCCUUGUACACACCGCCCGUCACACCAUGAGAGUUUGUAACACCCAAAGUCGGUGGGGUAACCUUUUAGGAACCAGCGCGCCCAAAUGGUGAUCAAGUGGCCGG
This 487-nucleotide ribosomal RNA is filed under the name Lactiplantibacillus plantarum. RNAcentral's name for it is "bacterial SSU rRNA". It matches the Rfam family "Bacterial small subunit ribosomal RNA", at positions 993 to 1478 of the family's 1533-position model. Lineage: Bacteria; Bacillati; Bacillota; Bacilli; Lactobacillales; Lactobacillaceae. The record is from RNAcentral.